GGUGACGGUGCCGCGUCCGGGGACGUCGUCGAGCGUGAUGGUCUUGAGGAAGAACUCGGACGUGUGGUUGUUCUUGACGAUGACCGCCCCCGGCACGCCCAGCUUCGCCACCUCCCAGUCGAACGUGACGCCGAACUUGGACUCGCCGGUCGUCACCGACGGCAGGCUCGUCAGCCACUGCUCCAGGUUCGCCUCCGCCCCGACACGCCCGCGGUUGCCGUUGUCUGCACAGCACGGUAGGAUAGCCCAUGUGGUGGGCGAUCGAUCGAUGAUGAGUCGUCGAUCGAGAUGAUAUGGUUCGUAUACGCGUGUCGGGCAUGCAUGCACGAGUAUAGUACAUCUAGUAAAGAGUAAACUAUUGAUAAAGAAUCUAGUUCAAUUGUUCAAAGUAGAAAUCAUCGUGUGUCUGAUCUCUUGUUACUACUGUGGUGGUCCUUUUUUCUACUUUGUCACGAGGUAGCCAGCAUCUGGUGCUCUGCACCUUCGCUGUCUUUUUCUCGGUGUUUCUAUCACGAUUCCUUUGGGUUUUUUUUCCCCCAUGUUCCGUCAAAAUGGAUGACCGAGGGCCGAGGCAAGGUAGCUGAAGCAGGGGAAAAUGCUUGUUGGUGCUUGCUUGCUUUGUAUGUGCGGGGAAAAUGCACGCACAGAAGGUAAAAGUAACCGAUCGAGACUGCCUGCUAGAGAGAUCGAUCAAUCAGGGAAGGCGGAGAUCAGAGAGGCGCGCGCCGGCCGGCUGUCGGCCGUCGCCGGCGGCGGCGGAGCUAGCGGUGUACUCACUGGCGUCGACGAGGGUGGAGCUGAUGAGCUGGCAGGUGACCCCCUUGCCGAGGAACUCGCUGAUGCCGUCGAUGACGGUGGCGCCGAGGUCGUUGAGGUCGAGUACGUUCUUGCGCAUGAGCACCACCGUGCCCUUGAGCCGCGCAUGCUUGUUCGCCCCCGUCAGCCCAUCGAUGAUCCCGCCCAGCAGCAUCUUCACCGGCCAAUCACCACCACGUACUACUGCUACUCCAACUAGCUCUGCUCUGCUCUCUCUCCCCCUGCCCUGCCGCCUUUUUAUGUUUUUGCAGUGGUGUUGCUGGCUGUGAGACUGAUGGAGGCCGAAGCCAAGCCGGCCGGGGGAUUUAUAGAGCGAGCGUGACGGAACGGAGCGCGAGCACAGUGCACCGAUCGACCACGGCUGCGUGACGUGCCCGUGCAAGGACAGACAGUGAGCAUGUGCUACCGUGUGUGUGAGAGCGUGAUUGAUGCGGUUUGAUUAUUGGGCCAGAUGGGACGUGAAUGGUGAGUGGUGCAGGAUGCGCCUGUGCGUGCGUGCGUGCGUGUACCUGCGCCGUCGGCCUCUUCCGCUCGUCGCUUCGUCCCGCCGCGUAGCAUGUAGCAUAGGCAACGCCGUACAUAUGGGGCCACCGGCCCCGCCCCGACGGCGACGUGCCAGCGCCGAUCGACUCGUGUUGCGCGUGUCGGCCAGUCUGAAUGGAUUUUCAUAGUGUCAUGCAUAUUUAAUAAGGUGCCACAUCAUCAGAUCUACAUUUUUUACAUGAAACGAAGAGGAGAGAGAAGAUAUUCGUUUCAUCCCCACGACACGAGCUGAGCAGCGUUACCAAAGCCGUGAAACGCGACGAAACUCCCAUUGAGAGGCUCCUUUCGUUUCAUCGAGUCCGAUUUUCUUCUUCGUUCGUGCAUGCAUCACGGUGGACGCCGGCCAGAGGACCUUCGUUGCGGACGUGACCUCCGUCACGGGAGCCGGCCGCGGGAGGGGAAGCCAACUGCGACCUCCGUCGCGGGUGCCGUCGUUGUGGUGCGGAGCCGCCUCCGUCACUGUCGCGAGCGAGACUACCUCCGCCACUGCGAAAUCCUCUGUCCGCUAUUGGAGCAGUCGUGUCACGGUUGCCUCUGUCGCCAACAGGUCCUCCGCCUCGCCGGCGUUGGACGCGCAGGCUCUGCCUCCGCCGGACGCGCGAGCUCCGCCUCCGCCUGACGCGCAGGCUAGCUCCGCCUCCGCCGGACGCGCGGGCUCUGCCUUCACCGGACAUGCGAGCCGGACGUACAGGCUCCACGUCUGCCAGACGCGAGCUCCGCCUUUGCCGGACACGCGAGCUCCGCCUCCGCCUCACACGCGGGCUGGCUCUGCCUCCGCUUUCACCGGACAUGCGAGUUCGUCAAGCCACAGUGACGAGAAGGAUGCGGCCUCCACUCCAUGCUCGGCCAGAUCCAUGGGAGUCGCGGUGACAAGAAUGAUGCGAGGAAGAGAGAGAUGAUAGGGACAGGUGGGACCCGUGAAUAAUAAAAUAAACCAUGAAAUCGUCUUAUGAAAUUUUGCAUUGUGGAAAAGAUCUAUUUCAUGUUAAAGUUUUAUAUAUUGGAAACUGGGAGAUGAAACUCUCCAUUGAGACUGGCCUAAAUCAAUGAAUCUAGGUCCGCGCCAUUCCAUUCGAUGAGCCUUACCAGUUAUUACAAAGAUAAAUUUCUUUUUUCACUUGUGCCGGACCAGUUCCUUUUGUGUUCCCUUCCUAUGGGGUAAUUUUUAUCGUGGCCUAGAUCGGCCAGUUCAAAGUUCUUUUUUUGUUUUCAGAUAGCAACAAAGUUUGCUAGAGAUAUAUGUAUAGACAACAGGAUAGAAGCGCCUUGUUGUAUGCGAUAUAUAACAAUAAAGUUUGCUAGAGAUAUAAAGAAAGUUCUUUUCGAAAAGCAAGAAUGACAGUUAUUUUGGGAUAGAGGGAGUACACUCCGAAUUCAAAAACUAUGUGUGAGGCAUUGUUUAGUUACAUCCGAAAUUUAAAAACGUUUUAAGAUUCUUCGUCACAUUGAAUUUUGUUGCAUAUGCAUGGAACAUUAAAUAUAGACAAAAAAUAACUAAUUGUAUAGUUUACCUAUAAUUUACGAGACGAAUCUUUUGAGUUUAGUUAGUUUAUGGUUGGACAAUAAUUAUCGAAUACAAAUGCAAAAUGAUAUAGUAACCAAAAACUUUUGAGCAACUAGGAAAUUAAACAAUGCCUCGUUGAAGAAUAGUUUCAUGCAAAAGAUAGCAUGUGUGUGUGAGAGCGUAAUCAAUGCGGUUCGGGCCUUGUUUACUUCGCGAAAUUUUCUAAACUUUGACCACUAUAACACUUUUGUUUAUAUUUAAUAAAUUAUUUUCUAAAUAUAUAUUAAUUAGGCUAAAAAAUUUAUCAAAUAAAUUAUAGAAAAACUGUAUAAUUAGUUUUUUAUUAUCUAUAUUUAAUAUUUUAUAUAUGCGAUUAAAAAUUUUAUGUGAUGAGAAAUUUUGAAAAUUUUAGAUAUUAGGCCGGAGAAACGUGAAUGGUGUAUGGAUGCGCCUGCGUGUACCUACGCCGUCGGCCUUCGUCCCGCCGCGGCUCGGUUGGCCGUACGUAUGGGGCCAUCGGCCCCGACGGCGACGUGCCAGCACAGCACCGACUCGUGUUGCGCGUGUCAUAGUACACAGUUACCAACGACUAUGAUUGGUGUUCACUGUUCACGGGACCGGCUCGCGCGCGCGGACGCGGCCGGCCGGCAGUCCGUGUGUGCGCAUGCGGCUCGCGGGCCGCGAGAUCAGCAAAAGGCGCGGCAAUAAUACAAUGCAGCAUGUACAUGUUCAGCAUUGCUUAUCUGGAUCAUCUAAAUGUGCUCUGAGAUUCGUGUUGCUGCACUUCUCUCAACUGUGUUCACACUUCUCUCCAUUGUUUCACAUAUUUCGAUGCAUAUUCAACGGUGUAGAUAGAAAAAUCUAAUAUGAUUUUCAUAUUUUCAAAUUCAAUAACUUAAAAGUUAUUAAUAAUUUAUAUUCUCAAUGUUUGAUCUAAAUUUUGUUUAAAACAACUUUUUUAUAAGUGUGGAGGGAAUAUGCAACGGUAUUUUUUUUACAUAUGGACACCCCACUCCUAAUAGGAUAUUAAUAAUAAUUUCUAUCUCCAUUAAAUAAGAUGAUAUCUAAGCAAAAUGCUAAUAUGCUAGCUCAAUCAAUGAGAAAAGAGGAAACCGUUCCUUAAAAGGAAAACGACGUCUACACUUGACCCGAUGCGCAAAGAAAUUGUGAUAUCGCUGUUAGGGAAAAAACAACCGGUUUCUACAGGUGGGGCCUGUGCUCGCUCCGCUCGCUACCAUGGGAUCUCGCCGGAGUUGCCGCGCUGGCUGUGCCCGUGCGUUGCCGCUAAAACUCGUCGGAGCUGCCUCGUUCGCGUGCGCCACUUCGUUGUCCGUUGGAGUCACCUUGCUCACGCACGCUGCUGACCUCCAUGGAACUCGUCGGAGAUGCCUCGCUUGCGUGCCUCGCCACGUUGGAACACGCUACCGCGGGGAGUAGCCGAAGCCGCCACGUCGGGCUCGCUCACUCGUGCUAGCCUCACUUUCUGUAGCUCCAAAAAUAAGCUCAAACCAUUCCUAAUGGAGAUAUAUCAAAAUUCUUUCCUGAACCAUGACAUUGUCAGUUUUCCCUACUAAGAUUUUUAUUCCAAUACAAGCAUUGUCCAUAGACCAUAGCUAAGCAUUUAAUCAAUCAAUGAUAUGGAAAAUGGAUAUUAGAUUUGUUGAUUGCAAAUCUAGCAGCAAGUUUAAAUUAUAAUAGUUAAAAUUAUUAGCUAAUUAUCGAUCAAAGAUUUUAGAAAUUUAAAAUUUAGAUAUGCUUGUGCGUCUUGUAAAAGAUGGAGGAGGGACUAUCGCACAAGUUGUACACUUAUGCUGCUAUUUACUCCUCACUCUUUUGAGUGUCAUUAUCAAAAAAAAAUCUCCUAGAAUCAUCCAAAAUCUAAGCAUUUUAAGCUUUACCAAGUUUGUUAGAAAGAGCAAUAACAUCUAUCAUAUCAAACAAGUAUCCUACAAAAAUAUAUUUUACGAUGUAUAGUGAUACUAAUUUAUUCUUAUAAAAUAUUGAUGUAUAUUUGAUUAAACUCCAAACAAUUUGAUUACUUCAGACAGACAGGCAUCUUUAGUUAAGUUUUGACACAAAUUGGCACGAGCGGCGAGCGCUACCUUUUGUUAAGAGUGCAGGACCAAGUUUAGAAGCCCAUUUCUCAAAAACCAGCAGAUGUACGCUUUCCGUAGCGAGACUACAGGAAACAACUGAAGGAAGGCAAGAAACGGGGUUGGCACAUGUUUUUCACUCGUAGCGAUAGCGACGGCCGUACUCAGCAGCCCGUGUCAGAUCAUUUCAGCAGCAAAUGGUCGGUCGUCCUUGGUGUGUGUUGGUUGAGAAAACGUACGUGACGAGCCCAUCAGGAAAGGAGACUCGAUCUUUCCCCGGAUCCAGCUCGCCCACGGACUCACGGUGAUGUAGUAAUACGUACUAGCCUUAUCGGAUCUACUACCAUUAUUAUUUUAUCGUCUUAGCAGCCAUCGUUAUUCUAUUCUUGCAAGGAAUCUCAAUUGUGAAUUCCGCUCUAUAAUCUAGUACCAGCUUGAUGCCUACUAUAAUAUGUGAAAUUAUAAAAAGCAUCUCACCAAAUAUGCCUACUAUAAUAUCUUCUGCCAAAUUGGACAAUUAAUUUGACCAACCCCGUCUUGCAUGAUUUUUGAAUGAUGAUUGACUUGUACAAUACAUGCCACUAUAUAUUGUACAUUAGUACUAAGGCUUUGUUUAGUUUGCAAAAAUUUUUAAGAUUCUCCGUCACAUCAAAUCUUUGGUCGCAUGCAUAAAGCAUUAAAUAUAGAUGAAAAUAAAAACUAAUUGCACAGUUUAUAUAUAAUUUGUGAGAUAAAUCUUUUGAGCCUAGUUACUCCUUGUUUGGACAAUGUUUGUCAAAUAAAAACGAAAGCGCUAUAGUAGCCAAAAACGAAUUUUUUUUGCGAACUAAACAAGGCCUAAAACACAAGUUGAUGAUCUCUUAAUUAACAUUACAUGGAAACAAAACUAAUUUCGGUACAAAACCGAUGGAGAAAUACAAACUACUGACAUGAAAACUGAAAAAAAGAAUUGAAUUAUUAAUAGAUUACUUUCCAAUUCCUCUCAAUUUAUUGCAUAUAUAUAUUAGUAAGAAGAGAUUGGAGAAGCCCUAGAUGUGCCAACACACACAAAAUAGUUUUGGAUAAUUCAUUUGUUCGUAAAAUCCUUCAAUUCAUUUAACACAUCAUAAUUUAGGCUAGAUUCGAAUGACAUGUCAAGCAUAUAACAAUUAAUGGAUUUCUAAAUGGAAUUCACACUGUAUGUUGGAAUGGAAUCAGGUCGAUCUAUCAUUACAUAUAUUAUACAAAUAUAUGAUAUCUACAUAAAUAAUAAUACACUAGUGCAACAAACUAGGCCACUAUUUUUGGUUGUUGAGUUAAUAGCAGUAAAAUGCUUCACCCAUUUGCUGACUACAUGAAAACUCAAGAAUACAAAGAUUAAGUGCAAGAGAUAUACAUUUAAAAAGAGUACUUACCUGUACGUUUCGCUGAAAUUUAAAUGUUGUAAAAGAGAAAACACACUGCAGAAUAGGACGGUAGUACGAAAUGGUUAAACUGAAUGGAUAUAAGAUGAAAGAGUGCAUGUGAAAUAGUAGUGAAUUCUAUAUUUCCAUAACCACAACAGAGAUGCAUCGUGUUAGUUUCAGUAAAACAGAUAGCUAGAUACAUAAGACGGCGGGGUAGAUACACACUGUUAGUUUUAGUCAAACAAGUACUAAUCGCUCGAUCCCCUUUCGUUGUCGAUAUGCAUUUCUUUAUGGCGGAUGCUUGUGUACCGAUUGUUAUUAUAAGCAGCACGCGAUGCACGACUCCGACUCGACAAGGGACCCUCUUUUCAUUGGCGUGUCCUCUCUAUUAUUAUCGGUCCCGGCAGGCCGCCCUCUGCAUCGAUCACGUAGCACAUGGAUACAUGUAUCACGUACGGGGAUGAUGGCAGUCUGGCAGAUAUUUCAUAUAGGUCCACAUGCAUGAGAUGCAUGCAUCCCACGCCCUAGCAAAGUUAACUUGCAUGAUGUAUGCGUGGUACUGGUAUAAGUUAACUUGCUAGCUGAGAACUGCUGGGAAUGUCUGGUUGAUGACUUUCUUUUAUAGUGGUUAUAAUGCAACCUACGCAUCACAUGGUUGCUCGUAUUUUUUUUUAUUUGGAUGGAGAUUUAGCGGUGUUAUUCUUUCAAUAACAGGUGAUGUGUUCAUCUACAUCAAUGCGUUUGGCUUUGCACCUGCAUUUGUACAAUUGGUAAUUUUAAUACAGAUUAGGUAGAGGCCUCCCUUCCCGACUUUCUAAAAAAACGUCAAGGCAUUUGUAAUGACUUUGUUAAUUUUAAGGUUAGACUUUUGAAGAUGCUCAUAGAGAUAGAAUGUAGUACUACUAUUUUUUUGUUAAAAUUAUUAGCUAAUUCUUUAGUCCACUAGUAAUUAGCUAAACCUAGCUAAUUAAGACUAACAGGAAAAUUUAAAACGUACCUCCUGUUGGUAUGCUGCGGGCCAAGAGGCAGAAACGUUUUUGUGUGAGAAUAGUACUAUCUAGUUUUUUUUUUGAACUUUUAGGGUGAAACUCUGUUUUUAUAGAAAACAAGAGAAUAUUAGUACUAUCUAUUGGCCCUUGAAUCCAAAUAGCGCAUGCACUCUUCUCGUUUCGUGUGGAUUCAAACCUUUUAAAGAUUGAUCAGAUAUAUAUAAAAAAAAUAUUAAUAUUUAUGAUGUACAAUAAUUAGGUUAAGUUUAGAGUAUACUUACACAAUAUACUUAUUUGGAGAUACAAAUAUUGAUAUGUUUUUGUUAAUCCUUAUCCAUCCAAAGGAUCUUAAGUAAUUUAAACUUUAGUCCUUCCAAGUAGUAGACUAACAAUUCGUUCUAGUUCUUUAUAAAAAAAAAGUUCCAGUUGUUAAAUAGACCCUAAAUCUAGCAUGGCACUUUGCUGAUUUUUGUCGUUUAUGAUCAUUGCAUUUUAGUACUGGAAUAUCAGCUGCACCUAUCAUCAUUACAUAACAGCGAUUGCGCCUUAUCUCUCUUAGCGAAUCAAUUGCGCGCACAAUUAUGUGGUUGUUACACUUGCCAACCCGUCAACAUUCUACAUUUCUAUUACUACCUGCCACGAUCAUAUAGUUGCUUGGUUCCCAUAUGAGAAGUCGGUAACACCGUUUCCAGAGUCCAAGCAUGAACUAAAGAAGCAAGUAAGUAAAAAUAGGCUGACUUUUAGAAGCAAGAGCAUCUCCAACAACUUGGUAAAAUUCACUUGUCAAAUCUUGAGUUAUAGCAAGUUGCUAAUUUGUUUAGCAAAAGAAAAAAGGAUGUGUCUCCAAUAAGUUGCUAUUCUCACUUGGUAAAAAUAGAGGAUGACAGAUGGGACCCGCUCACUUGGUAAAAGAAUAUGUGUCUCCAACAAGUUGCGCUCGGGAUAGCAACUUGAGAUAGCAACUUGACAAAUCUCGGCAGUAGAAACCUCUGGAUAGCAACUUGGGAAAUUUAGCAAGUUGAGAUAAGGAGUUGUUGGAGGAGGAUUUUUAUGCUUUUAGCAAAUUUGGUAGGAUAGUAUGUUGAAAUACCAAGUUGUUGGAGAUGCUCUAAUAUACUUCUUAAAAUUUGACACACUUAAAUUGUAAUAUGUAUUUUCCUAGGACGGUCCAGCUUGUUAGGUCAACCUCUUUCAACGUUCGAUAGAAGCGUGUUGUAUGUUUGUUUAAACUCUUCUACUUGAUACAAUGAUAUGCAAAACUUUUACAUAUUCAAAAAAAAUGCAAUUUAUAGGUGACUAAAAAAAGUCAUAGUGAAAGAUCAAGUUGUAUGAGGCGCGGUAAGAGUAGACAAGCCAGAAGACAACAGAAGAUAAAUAAAAAAAAAGAAUAGUAAAACCUUCCUCUUGUGGAAGAAAACAACAGAAGAAAACACGAGUCUAUUUGAUUUAGUUAUGAGCUACGAAAAAGUAGGUGGAGAUUAUGUGCUAUAGAAAAAAUUAUAAGUUGUAUAGUUUAAACAACUAUAAAACAUACUCUCUUUAUCUCUCUUCAAAUCAAACAGUAGUAAAACAUCUCUUUAUUUCCACCUAGUUGGAAAAAGCAAAAAAAAAAAAGGCCUAAGGUGCAAUUAAAAUUGUACUGUAUGAAAACAGUUGCUUUUGAAAAAGCGACUUGUGAUUUUAUUUGUUUGAUUGGCAUUCCACUUUUUAACAAAAGCAAUUUUCAGAAACUAAAUCAAACACAGCCUAAGUAGCUUGGACAGGUUGAUGAUUUGAACACUAACAAGAGUGAAAGACAGCUUCAUCGAGAAUUCCCCGAGGAUUUUAGCAAUAACAAACUAUCUUACUUACAAACAAAGCAGGUUCACAAAUGACAUGUAAUACUUUCACCAGACAAUUAUCAUCCGGUACGACUUUUGUUCUCAACGGCAAUGCCAUUUGACAAUACAUACAUACAUACAUUUAAACCAAAGUUUGUGCUUAUACUUACAACAAUCCGGAUUGUACAAUAUACACAUCAAACAAUAACCAUCAUCGAGCACCAAUGUCUUAACAUAUGCCACUGAUCUGAAAUCUGAAUCUACCCCCCUGCGCGUUGCUGCUCCCACCUCAGGUCCUCGGAGUACUCCAUCAUGGCAGCCCUCGGAUCACCUUCAGUAACAGAUAAGUAGUACGCAGCAGUCCCAUCGUCGACGUGCAGGCUCCGCCUCACCGACUCGAGAAUCCUUUUGCUUCGCCUCUCUGCAGCAACAAUGCUUGCCACGGAUUCAGUUUUGCCACCUGGGCGUCCCUCAGGGUAAAAGAUUGCAACCUCUCUCUUGGCGUUAUGGUCCAUCUCGAUGUAGCAGGUGCUGCCCAUAAGGAUUUCUGGGUUGCUGAUCGGAAUCAGAAGCCUCUCCCUCGAGUAGAUGCCAUGAUCACUCAUCAUGUUGUUGAAUCGUUUGAUAUCUGUCACCUGCAUGCAAUUCAACAAGCAUGAAAUUGCAGUCUCAUGAAGAAUAGAAAAGACAGCUAGCAUUUGCCGAGCUCCUUUGCGGAGAGGGUCCUUUAUAGUAGAUGACCCGUUAGACAACUUUUGGUAGGGUAAAUGGUUUUUUAUUGCAGUUGCAUUAAGCAUAUGAUUAUGCUGAGUAAUCCUGCAGUAGUCACUAAAUAUGUCCAUCCCUUCAAUAGUGCAGUGCAUCUAAUAAACAUUUUAUUUUCAAAAAGCUAUCAAACUAACACAAUCCUGGGCAUAAGCAUGUUGUAAGAAGUGAGACCAUGAUAAUUUAAACACCAGUAGUGCUUUUCGAAUUUGAUAUGUAUAAUAAUAUAUACAUAAAGCUGAUAAAAAUUUAUUGAAGCACUAUAUCAGGAAACUUUAGCCUCAUCCAACAGAAAACAGAUCCUAAAAACAGGAUGCCAGGUGUUAGGAUCUGACCUGGCAUCCUGUUCUUAAUAUGUAUGAAGUCUGAUACGUAUCAACACAAAAAGCUUUUGAUAAUAAGAACUUUUAUCCAAAACUUAACAUCUGUCUGAAGUCUGAUCCCUCAACAGCAAAGUCAGAUGCAGCAAGCUAAGUAGAUACCUACCUGAUGUGAGCCUAACCACCUAAAACUCUGUUUGGAUAGAUAUAAAAAAAAAUAGGGAUAACCAAAAAUCCAGUUAAAAAAACAAAAUUGAUCCCUACCUGCUUUUUUAGAAACCAACUCCUGUACCUCAUGUUCUGUGCCAUGUGCUUUGCUUUCUUUCGUCUUACGUCAUGUGCUUAACAAAGUAUGAACCAUAAUCCAUACUACUUCCCUAAUGUCUAAUCAAUUGUUAAAUUGGAAGAAAAGUGAUUUGGUGCUAUGUAAUGGCGUCAGAGAAUACUUGUUUUAGUUUACGAAACCCAAACAAAGUAAUCCAUAAACCUGGACCUACCUAACUAACAACCUAAAACCAAUUUUCCUAAAAAUCCUAAAAAAACAACCUGUUUCGUGAAAACAAUCAAACAUACACAUAAUCAAUGUGUCCAAACAACCACCUAAGUGACUACCAGAAACUCAUGACAAUAGCUUCAAACACACCGUGACACAGUACAACAGCUAUAAGUGCAGUUCUUAGUAGUUACAAUACUGAUGUCCAACCCACAGGCAGAGAACUUUCUUAAUCUAAUAAAAUCCUAUAGUUUUUAUUCCAGAGUAUUGACAUUAUAUAGAGAGACUAAAAAGCCACCACCUUCAAUACUAGAGUAAUUGCAAGUACCCAGUAACCCAGUGGUGACUGGUGAGAACAAGACUCCUUACAGACACAGUGACCAUACUCGAUGCUGAAAAUGAUAUAGAUCCCUCUCCCUUCUCAUCUCUGCUCAACAAAACCACUAACAAUGACAUAGCAAACUUCCCCUGCUCCAACCCCAUUGCUUCAUUCCCCCAAUGAAUCAUGGUUGUAUUUAUCUGCCACAUAAAACUCCUGACCACUAUUGCCAUAUCAUCAAAUCUCAAUUGGAGCACCUCUUCAUUUACUUCAAAGGACAAAAGUGCAGCAUGAAAAACAAUGUACUCUACACAAGUACUAACCUACACUUGUGAAGAGGCAUCAAAAUGACAGAUCUUAAACUACACAGAUGCACUACCUUCAUUCAAACUAUAGUUAGCUUCAGUCUCAUCCUUUUCAUAAGUCAAACUUCUAAACUUUGACAGGGUUGAUAGAAAAAUGCAUCAACAUCUAUAUAGUAUCGAAUUAGUUUCAAUAAAUUAUCAAUUGAAUAUGUGUUGAACUAUUCAUGGUGCAUUUAUUUGAACUUGUGGAUGUUAAGUUAUUAAUUAAUUUAGACUCAGACAAGGCUAAAAUGAACUAUAAUUUGGAAGAAAGGGAGUAAGUAUUUGAUUGAUGAGAUCUCUUCAUUGAUCAUAAGUUGGCGGAUGUUGUUACACGCUUUGCACGUACCUACAAAUUAUUAACAGAUUUGUUCAUUUCCUUCUAGGAUACUUGUUCAACAACCACCGAUGACCAACUAGUGAUUAAUUUUGAGUUUUUGACUAGCUCCAUCUUCCUAUGAUGAUAAAAAUAAGCCUAACAUUCCUUGUGGAAAUACCCCAGAUUAUCUACUCGCAUUUCCAUAUACUCUCUCUAAGGUUCAGUCUGAAUUAAUGCUGCUAUGGAGCACACACAAGCGAUCAAAUCUUAAUGCAUAUGAUCUGCUGCCACAGAAUGUUUAGGGGCGAUCAAAACCAGAUUCAUUUGAGGACUAUAGGCGCUUCGACAAGUUGGAUACCCUCAGCAAACAAUAGGUCGAUCGCCACAUCGUUGGAACGAGCGCACACGAUACAGAACACGCACCUGCACGGAGUACUUGAGAGCGACGCCGGGGACGGUAUCCCCGCGGCGGACGGCGUGCGACAGCGCGAAUCUCCCGAGGCAGGCGGUCCGCCAGAAGGCCCCCGUCGCCGGCUCGCCGACGACGCGCCGCACGCCCCAGGGCGCGCAGAAGGCGGCCUCGACCACGGCGCGGUCGGAGGCGACCGCGCGCCACGCGCGGCAGACGCAAGCGGACCGCGCGAGGUCAAUCGGCGGCAGCCUCUGAAGCACGGCGCGAAGCAGGUCCGCCGGGAGGCGCGCGUCCAUCGAGCCCGCGGACGGAUCGGGCUCGGGGCUCGGCGGAUCGGCCGGGGAGGAGGCGUCGGGACCCCCGCCUGCGCCGUCGCCUACGGCGCGCGAGUCCAUGGCUUCGAGAGACUCGUGUGCUGUGGCUGGCGUUGGGGCCGCGUGGAUGGAGUCGGGUGACGGACGAAAUGGGAGGUUGGAAACGGCGCGGCGGAGGCGGACUCGAGCGGCCGUCGGGCCGUCUGGACCAUGUGGGGUCGGAGAGCUUCCUGCACGAACUGGGCUCACUUCUCCAUCCAAAUUUAAAGUGGGGCUCGUAUGGGCCAGAUGGGCUCAUUUGCUCCAUCCAAAUUCUACAUGGGCCUGGCCAUCUUCACCCUUCACCACCGAAGCUUCUAGGAACCCGACCGGGCACCGGCCGGCCGCAAUCCGACGAGAGAAGGAAUUCGAGUCACGAAUCCGGAUAGAGCGCCGCCCCACUCCGCCGCGCCGGCCCCGCUCGCUGCCGCCUCGAGCAGAGAGAGAGAGAGAGAGAGAGAGGCUAGGAGAGAAGGAAGCAUGACGACGAUCCGCCGGUUCUGCUGCGACGACCUCCUCCGCUUCGCCUCCGUCAACCUGGACCACCUCACCGAGACGGUGCGCCACCGACGCGUCUCCCCCCUCUCUUUCCUUUAUUCGAGCGCAUCCCCUCUCUGAUCUCACGAUUCGGUCGCCGCAGUUCAACAUGUCGUUCUACAUGACGUACCUGGCGCGCUGGCCCGACUACUUCCACGCCGCCGUCAACCCUGGCGGCCGCGUCAUGGGUUACAGUAUGUCUCUCAUACCCCUGCACCUUGCUUGUUUCGGCAUCCCGGUCCUCUCAUAUAUUCUCGGAUAGUUGUGUGCUGUUAGUGUGUUUGCAUCUUUGCUUGGCAAAUUAAAAUUAGCUAAACAUGUAGAGUGCAAACCCUGGAUGCUAGUUUGAGUGUUCAGACAUGUGUGGUGUUAAGGCGCUGGAUAAUCGUCUUCUGCAAUGUUUUUUUAUGCAUUACACAAUUAGUCAUAUGUAGAUGCUGCCUGGUGCAAUCCAUGGUUUGUGUUCUCCAAGUAGGCAUUGUUUUAGGACUUAGGAGUGCAAAGUGUACUUACUGGGAUUUGCAAUGUUGGUUCAUAAAAUGAGUGUGAAAUCUGAAAUGACUGGUGAAGUAGCAAUAGGAUGACUGGUUAACUCACUAUUGCCUCCUUGUCAAAAAAAAAAAAAAAAAAAAACUCACUAUUGCCUCUUUUGUUUUUAAUCUUGAAUGGUGAGCAUCAAAAUUAGAGGUUUAUCCCCUUCUGAAGCAUAUAAUGCAAUAUUAUUCUGCGUGUUCCAUUUCUUUCUUUUGCCUUUAUUUAGUUUAGGGGAAGUAAGCUAGAAAUAUUUUGCAGUCAUGGGUAAAGUUGAAGGGCAAGGUGAAUCUUGGCAUGGACAUGUCACAGCGGUGUCAGUUGCCUCUGAAUUUCGGAGGCAGAAGUUAGCCAAGAAGCUUAUGAACUUACUGGAGGAAAUCAGCGAUAAGAUGUAAGUAACAUCUUUCUGUUUCUCCUUCUGAUUUAGUUCCUAUGAUAUCUGUUUUCCCCUUUAUUAUGGAUACGGAGUUCUUGUGCUAUUAUUGUAUUUUCACAAUGUAUGAUUGUUGUAAUCUUAAUUGUUGUUUGUUGAGUUUAUAGUUCAUGACAUGCUAAUAGUUCAUAUAAUCUGUUCUCUCCAGAUAUUUCAUAUUUUUUUCCUAUCUUAAUGCUCUGGCAAUCUUAAGGAAAAAUCCCAUUGUCUUGGAUUCACACUUUUAUCCAUUAGAAAAUUUAUUAUGGUUCAUGCUUCUAUUUCUUGGUUCCAGAUUUUGCUAACUAGAUCAAGGAACAUUUCUCCCCUUAUCUAGCUUAUUUCAAGUUAUGCAUGUGUGAGGGCUGACCAGUAGUUACUAGUUAAGAACAGGUUGUCAUUCUUCGCAGGGCAUAUAGAGUGGUAUAAGAGCAUAGUACCCUCCCAUUCUCACGUUUACAUUGAAGGGGAUAACUGAAUUCAUGACAUAUCAUCCCCUCUGUGCCCUAGUCUGGUUAAAUUUUUUCCCACAUAAGCUACUCUGUUUACUUGUCACCCUGAUAAUAGGCACUGAAUAUCUGCUAUGUUCAACCCACUUAACCACAUUAGUGUUACCAUGUUGGAUAGAUGUGAUGUUUUGAAGUCAUACAUAUUAUCAGUUGCAUUACUUCACAUACUGUUAUAACCACUUCUGCUAUUCAGGGAUAAGGCCUACUUUGUGGAUCUCUUUGUAAGAGCAUCUAACAUGCCAGCGAUAAGGAUGUACGAAAAGGUAAUAGUGUUUAUAAAUUUCAGGAUCUGCCAAUACUCCAUUCUGCUCCUCUGAACAGAACUUUUUAAUAUUCAUCAAUGUCAACCAGUGAAACCAAGUUUUUGAUUAAACAUUAGUUUGGUGAGUGAACUUGCCUAAUUAUACUCCUUUUUUUCCAUAGCUUGGUUAUGUGGUUUAUCGAAGGGUGCUCCGGUACUACUCAGGGGAAGAAGAUGGCCUUGGUAAGCAUUUGCAGUGCAAAAUCUCAAGGCAUACAUAUUCCAAAUUUGUUGCUUAUUAUGCCUGUAUAUGUUUUUGCUCCAGAUAUGAGAAAAGCAUUAUCACAAGAUGUUGAGAAGAAGUCCAUCAUACCACUCAAGAGGCCAAUUACGCCUGAUGAACUUGAAUAUGAUUGAUGUUAAAACUUUACUACCUGGUGCUUACGUUGAAAGCUCAGUGUGGAAUUUAACAGGCUUUGAAUAUCUGGUAGUUUCAUUAGUUGUGACUAUUGUUCUCCUUUUCGUACCUGUUAGGGGACAGAGGUUUCCGAGGUGAAUUCUGCAGUUUUUGUAUUUGAGAAUAGCAAGAACUAUGUCUUGGCAUGGAAUCAAAUUUCUUUGUUCUGAGGUCGCACCCAUUUUUAUCUCGUGAUUCUAUUUGCUGUGUAGUGUGUUUUUAUACAACUUGCACACUAUAGUACAAGUUAUUCAUCAAUGUUCUGCAAUAUACUUGACCCGUGCUAAGCGGUAAUAGCUAGAGUUUAACUUUAAAAGUGACCUCAUUCCAAAAACAUUACCCUGUUCAAUGGUGGUAAAGUAGAAGGUGAGGGAGAUGAGACCAAACGUUGCUUUUGAUGCAAGCAGCGAUACAUUGAGCAAGAGAUCAUGUGCGUGAUAUGUUGGUACUCAGGUGCGGGAAAGACUGCCGGUGGUGGCAUAAAACGGUUAGUGGAAGUUUCAGGUCUCACUCUAAGGAUGUACGAGGUUAGAUUUGCAAACUCAGGGCACACAUCAAAUCUCAUGGUACAUGCAUGAAACAUUAAAUAUAGAUAAAAAAUAACCCAUUGCACAGUUUGCGAGACAAAUUUUUUGAGCCUAGUUAGUUCAUAAUUGGAUAAUAUUUAUCAAAUACAAACGAAAAUGCUAUAGUGUCUAUUUUGCAAAAAGUUUUGCAACUAAACAAGGCCUAGAAGGUUCAUUCAAAAUUAGAAAUUUCGGAGUAUCCGAUGCUUCAAUUUAUUUGGAUACUGGAGUUUCAAACAAAAUUAAAAAAAAAAUCAGAGCAUUCGGUGCUUCGUUUGCUUCAAAAUUCUUAUCCAAAUUUGGCCAGUCAAGUUUUCUUAAAGAGAUGCUUAAAUUAGGUGGCCAGUAAAAAUAAUAGAUACAAAAGGCAAUUUAUACAGAGAUCCUUCGUGAAGCUAAGCUGAAAUCAUUUAGCAAAGGAUGAUGAAUUUUACACCCUCCACAAUCAGCCUGUUUUAUUAGUAACCAAAACAAUUUGAACUAAGCGAGGGAUCUCAGAAACAAGACGGGUCAUUAUUUGUAUAUGAGGGCGUCACGUCCAGGCCCGACACCAAUGUAGUGGACUGGAAUGCCGACCAGUUCCUCUAUCCUCUCCACAUAGCGACGAGCAGUUUCUGGGAGAUCACUGUAGUCUCGUAUUGAGGAAAUGUCUUCCUCCCAUCCAGGUAGGGCCUCAUAUUUGACCUACACAACCAGAGACCACAGGAAUUGUUGUCAAGAGAAACAAUACCCAAAUUAAGUGCCAUGCCAGAGACCGCUUUGGUUUCGUUGCAUAUAGAGUUAUACCAAUGAAACACAACUCAGUAAAACAGGAUAGACUGUUUCGAGCCUUACCUUUAUUUGCUCUAGAAGAUCAAGAUCUGCUGGGAAUGAUUGAACAGUGUUACCGUCAUCAGUGUAGUAUGAGGUACCCAGCUUAAUUUCCUUGAGUCCAGUUAAGACAUCGAGUUUUGUGAGAUUCAAAGAUGAGAAACCAUUGAUUUGGCAACAGUAUUUAAGUGCAACUAUAUCAAGCCAGCCACAACGCCUAGGACGACCUGUUGUAGUACCAAAUUCCAUUCCAGAAGCACGAAGCAAAUCACCAGUCUUACCCAAUAGUUCUGUUGGGAAAGGACCGGAUCCAACCCUAGUUGUGUAGGCUUUUACCUGGACAUAAAAACAUUACGUUCAGGAAGAAUGGGACGUAAGAAGUUUUAAGCAGUUUAAGUAAUUGAGCGUACCACUCCAAUGAUAUCACCGAGACUUCUGGGAGCAAUACCAAGCCCAGUACAGAUUCCACCAGCUGAGGGACUUGAGGAAGUAACAAAGGGGUAGGUCCCAAAGUCUAUGUCUAACAUGGUAGCUUGACCACCUUCAACCAAUAUUUUCUUCUUCUGCAAAAUCGACUGGUUCAUGAAAUGCACGGUAUCAGUGAUAAAAGGUUCCAAUCGUUCAGCAAACCUUUUAUACUUCUCAACUUCCUCUUUGAGAAUCUUGCUAUUGUAUUCAAAAUCUUUGAAGCGUAGAGCUGCAUCUCUUAGUAGGUUGUUGAGUUUUGCACCAAAGGUAUCCAUAUGUCGCAGAUCACUAAUUCUGAGUCCAUUCCUUGUAACCUUGUUUGAAUAGCAUGGUCCAAUUCCUCUCUUUGUUGUCCCUAUAAGGGAAUUCCCAAGCUCUACCUCUCUAAGACCAUCAACAACUUGAUGAAGAUCAAACAAAAGAUGGGCACGAUCUGAUACCAAAAGCCUUCCCUUGCAAGAAAUUCCAUUAGACUCUAGCCCAUCAAUUUCCUUAAAGAAUCCAGGAAGAUGAACAACUACUCCAUUACCAAUCACACACUGAGUGUUUUCAUUAAGGAUGCCUGACGGAACAAGAUGAAGUGCAAACUUCUUCCCUUCAGAAUUGUAUAUGGUAUGCCCAGCAUUAGCUCCACCCUAAGAACAUAAACAACCCUACAAGUUAAAGGGGGAAAACAGGUUGUGCAUCAAAAAAAAAAAUCUCGUGUAUCAAAUCUUAUUGCAAACAGUAGGUCCUGGUACUACUGUCACCAACUCUUUCAGAGGAAGGGUCAACUUAAACUAACAGAUCCUCAAAUAACCACAUAGAACAGCAGAAGAAAUAGUAAGUUGAGUGGACUCUGCACAGGCAAUGUUAUUCACAAGGAAACACGAAUGCAUGAUCAUAUGUAAGGAGCUACACAUGUUAGUAGCUGGCGUUCUUAGUAGUGGUUGCUUGGUAGUGAAUUGCUAUAGAGGAUGAAAUGUUGUUAUUGCAAAGGUUAAGUCAUAUGAUCCCAUUUUUAUUAAUAGGACAUGCCAUCAAAAAUAUGUACACCGUUGAGUACAGCAUAAGUGGGAAGUAACAUAAAACUUUGGCUUCCACAGAAACCAUAUUGAUGUUUCACUACCCAUAACUGUUCUUCUGCUUGUUGAAGAACAGAGGAACACAAAGGCUAUGUUGAGAAAAUGCAGCGUUUUCAAGUCCAUAAUCAUUGUGGUUUAGAAGUCAAUAGCAUGACUGAGAAAAAGAAAAGUUACAUAAAGAAGAGUGAUGCAGUGCAAUGCAAAUCAUAUACAAGAACUGGUAAGAAACAGCAGUAAUGAAUUUUAAUAAACUGUUAGUCUUCUACUAAAAACCGUGGCAGCCUGUUGUUUGUUCUAUACAAUCCCAUGACUCAGACGUUCAUGAACAGGCACCUCACAUAUUUUACCUGAACUGGCCACGUUACUGAAUAUUGUUAAAAUUAUCAUGACGCCAUCACGGGACAAUAUUUCACACAAUUCAAGAGAACUGGGGACUGACUACUGAGGAUAAAAAACACCCAAGCUUGGGGGGUAUGAUUUAUCCUUAAGAAGCACGACUCACCAACUUGUGAUCAAACUACCUUGACAUGUGCUUUGGAUGGUUUACAGAUAAUUGCAUGACAAUAUUUAAGUAGUAACUACUCAGUACCGAACAGGUUUCCGCAGAUGAAGAGCCUCUAAAAAAGCUUUUGUGGAGACUUAACAAAGUUCCUGGAGUAGCUAAUAUCUAGCCACCUCCAUGGAAUGAUGGAAGUACUACAGCGAUCGCGAUGAUGGCAUUGUUCACGACAAGGGACUGCGCCAAAUGCAAAGAAGAUAGAAGAAAGCGGAUCGAGAAUGUUAAAAAAAAUGGUGAAAGACAUUCUACAGCAAACAAGUUUAUAUCAAGGUUAUAAACUCCUCUGACGCGUACAUGAACCCUGAAACUAACUUAUAACCCAGCGCAAUGCAAUUCAUCGAACACCAGCACGCCAACGAACAGUAACAGCGCGGCGGCGAGCGAGCAUUGCGUCUUCGCGAGAGGCGCGCGCGUGCGAGAGAGACCUGGCACCGAGCGACGACGUCGAAGCGCUGGGCGAGGAUGUCGACGAGUUUUCCCUUUCCCUCGUCGCCCCACUGCGUGCCCAGCACCCCGGCCACCUGGCUCAGCGACUCCAGCCGGCCGCGCGCGGCCGCAGAGGGCUCAUCCGUGGUAGCGGGUGCCACGGGAGCCGCCCUCAGCGGCCGACAUAGGCGCGGUGCAGGCCCCGGGACCGGGAGGACGCGUCCGCUCCAGCCGGCGGCGGGGCGGAUGAGAGGGAAGGGGGCGGGGUCCAGCGACAGAGAAGCUAGCGGCAUGGCGUGGCUUUGGCGCCGCGCGCGGGUGGAGGGAGAAGGGGUAAGGGAAGGAGGCGGCGGCUGAGUGGCUGUUAGGUGGGCCUCAUGUAGUGCCUGCGUUGGACUGAGGUGCAAGUGUGUGGUAUGUUCUUCAAAAAUCAUUUGUUACCAGGACCGCACUCAAAGUUUGAUUCGCUCAAUAAUUGACAUCGCGCAUUCCUUUUUAUUUGACUAUAGGAUUGUGUCUGUGCUUUAUUACGGGCAAAACAAAUAUAGAAUCCCAUCAAUAUGAAGAGAUUUUUCUCUUCAAAUGUUAAGCUAGUCUUAAUUUCUUUUUUCAAGGAUUAAGCAGAAGAAAAAGUUUUGUUACAAAGUAUCAGGAUUACAAUAAACUGAAGAUUACAAAACUCACCGUUCUCGCCCUCAGACAACUCACACGUGGUUGUGAUUACAUAAUACCAAAUUUAUAACCACAAUAGCAAACACCUCAAACUGAACGACGGUGUGAGUCAAGCAUCCCUAGAUGCUUGAACCCAGCGGCACACCACAUGGUGACCUCUAGCUUAAUGAUCUUAAGCAACUGUACCGGUGAUGAGAUAAUUUUGUUGAAGGUCCUCACGUUCCUCUCUUUCCAUAGUAGCCAACUGACUGAACGAAAAGGCAGUCAAAACCACAACGAAUUUCUUUGAGUAGCCAUCUCCUUGAACUAGUCCACCAAAGCAUUAUGUCUUCCUCAUGGACACCACUAGCUCAUGGAGAAGGAACCUCUCCAACAUGAUGCCCAAACCUCUCUACUAAAAACGCAAGCGGGUCUUAAUUUAUAAAAAAAUAUUUUAUGAAAUAUAUGUUCAAUAUCUAUAUAACAUCAUAAAUUUUCAAUGCAUACAGCAGCAAUAAAAACACAUAUAAAUAUCUUAAGUGAGACCGUGUUUAGCACAACUCAGUUUCAUCAUUGAUUUUUAUUUUUUAUUUAUUUUAUUUUUUUGCUUCAGCUCUACGAGUAGCCCUCUAAUAGAGCUGAAGUUAUUUUAUUAGAUCGGUUGACAAACAGCUCAUUAUGGUAGACGAAAAGAAUUCAUUAAUUAGACCUUUACAUACUAGGCCCAUAUGUGCAGCUAGAAAAGACUACUAUUUUCAGUUUGAUUCUAACCCAUUCACAUGUCAGAGCUGGUUUUCUAGAGCUUCAUGAGUAAAGUUAUUUUUAAAAUACAUGCUUGGUACAAAACAACUUUGAAUAGCUUAUGAAGUUGGUGAAGAAGCUAUGCUGAAUAGGUGUUCUUGUCCUUCGCUGUUUGUACGUUCAAGAAGUGUGGAAGCUUGUCUCGGAACAAGAUGAGGAGUUUAAUGUGGGUUAACAAAUUCUUCAAUCAAAUCUUGACACCAAAGUUGAAUGCUGGGAAGUUGCCACGAGGACCAUAACCAAAGACAAAAAAAAAACGCAUUUUCAAUGGAGUAUAUUAAUAAUAUAGUAUCGGUGAUCGAAACGUCUAGAAAGAGUGAAAUAGAGGAAUCUCCAACAAUAAGCUCCAAACGGCGCAACAGCUCGUUGCUAAAAUUAUGGAGGAUUUAAUGGUUGAGAAGGAAGUCAUUUGCUCAGGUUUUGUAAAGGCUUUGUUUUUAGGUGUAUUUUGGCUCUUGGGCUUUCUGUUCCCAUUUGCUAGGAGAGUCUAUCAUGUACUCUUUUUAACACUCCUGCAAUUAACUCUUUAUUUCCUUCUUAAAUGAAAAAAUGAGCUUCUACCAUUACGCUUAAAAAUAACUGAAAAGCGGAUAUAAUAAAAGAGAAUAAAAGUCCAAAUUGUGGGUUAACUAGCAGGAAAAGAGAUUGCACGUGCCGAGUGCACAAAAAAGAGGCAGACUAUCUCUCUAAACAAUUUACAAUAAAAAAAUUGAGUAUUACUGCUGUCCCAAUUCAAACUAUCUAUGGUGUAUGUAUUAGGUGUUAAAAAUAUUGGGUCGUGCACAAAGGGAACAUCGACAUUGGGUGGUGCAGGAGUACAGGAUCUCCUCUAAGUCCAGCCGGCGCGACAUGUUCGCCUUUUAGAGCUGAAAAAAUCGGAACGGAUCGAGAGAGCGAGGGUACGUUAGUACGUGGCUACGGAGUAAGAGCCAAAACCCUCAGGCCGUUUUACUUUUACCCGGAUCCCUGCUGCCCUCGCCGCCGCCGCUCUGCCGCCGGCAUGGCUGCUCGUGCUCUGCCUGAGUCGGUCCACCACACCGCCUGCGAUGAGCUCCAGAAGGACGAUCGGAAGGAAGAGAAGGGAAAGCGGAAGCGGGAGCGGGAAGAGGACAUUGGGAUGGAGGCAACGGGGAAGGAGAAGAUGGAGGGGAUGGGGAAGAAGAAGGAGAAGAAUGGGGAAGAAAAGCUGAAGAAGGGCAAGGGAGGCGGGAUUCUGACCAACAGGCUUUUCUCAGAGCUCUGCAUCUCGGAGCUCACUGCCAAGGCCAUCAGAGAGAUGAACUACACCCACCUCACCAAGGUGAUGCUCCUCCCACUCGCCAAAAUUCUACCAUACUUCUUCUUCUUGGCAAGACACACAUGAUUCUGUUCUCGGUCGACAGUUGCAUGCGGUUGAAUGUGUAUUGCUUAUGUUGAUUGCGUAAUGUGUGACUCGAUCCUCUGCUUUCUGCUGCGCUGCUGGAUUUUAGUAUUGAUGUAAUGCAACAAUAACAAUGACAUGCAUGCAUGGUUGUUUAAUUUUCAUGAUGGUUGCAGAUUCAAGCUAGAUCAAUACCGCAUCUGAUGGAAGGAAGUGAUGUGAUGGGUUCAGCAAAGACUGGCUCAGGGAAGACCCUUGCUUUCCUUAUACCAGCCAUUGAGCUGCUCCACAGAUCGCACUUCUUGCCGAGGAACGGAACUGGAGUUGUGGUGGUUUGCCCAACGAGGGAGCUUGCUAUCCAGGUUUAGGCAUGACACAGCAAUAUUUAUCUUUUGAUUGAUUUUACAUGCUUUAUUUAUGACUGUUCUGAAACUUGCUGCGAGCGAAACGAUCAAAAUUGGAUGUCUCAACUGAGCUAAGGUUAAGUUAUCCUUUAAUCACAUAUAUAAUGCUGUGUGUGUAAAUAUAAUACACAAAGCUGUUCAUUUUACAGUAUUUGAUUUGAAGAUUAAGCUAUGCGAAUUUCUUUUCACGUUGCUAUAUAUUACCAAAUUUUAUCACCACAGUUGUUAAGCUUCAGAAGGUAGUUUUCUAUAGUAUAUAUAUGUGAAUGUUGGUGGUUGCUGAGACUAUUCACUCGUAGGGGCUCACACUUGACAGUUGACACUUUGCUAUCCUUAAUUAUGUGUUUUGUCAAUUCAUUUGUGCUAGACACACAAUGUUGCCAAGGAAUUAAUGAAGUAUCACUCGCAAACUCUUGGAUAUGUAAUUGGUGGCACUAAUAUGAGAAGUGAGGCUAACCAGCUCGCAGAAGGGAUCAAUGUCUUAGUUGCCACACCGGGCAUGCUUCUGGACCAUCUGCGAAGUACCAGCAGUUUCAAAUACAAAGAGCUAAAGGUACAUGUACUUAAAUUGUCACAUUAGAUAAAAAAUACAACCAGAAAUUUCAUGCUUAUCUAUUUGCAUGAUCAGCUACCUGAUUGUUUUUAUAUGAAAUCUUUGUAUACAUCUACCUUACGCUUGUCCUUGACUGGAACUAUUAAUGCUGAACUAUAUAUCAAAUUGCAGCAUACAUUAUGCCCAAAAUUGUAGAAGGCAAAUUAUUAUAGAACCAUAUUAUUGUUAUAUUAGCUCGACUAUAUGUUUUGUCUUUGUUUGCUAUUAGUUGCAGCAAAUUUUUGCUUGACAAAAGCCAAGUGGAAUUGGAUAUAAUGUUAUUUUGUUGUUCUGUAACCAAAACUGAUAAGUAUGGGUACAAGUAUUGGAUUUGUAGCUAAAAGUUAUUUUUCGUAACCGUCCUUAAAACCAAAUUAAUUCUGUUCUCCAAUUAAAUUGAUAUAUAAUUGCAUUGUAAAUAUAUUGUCCAGCGGGGAUGGAAUCAAUCUUUGCCCACUCAUACCUCGGUCCAGAGAAUACUAAAGCCAAUUAAUUUUGUGCUGGGCUGCCCAUGGAGAAGGCCAAGUCUUGUUUACUGGCUCAUGUAAUAUGGGUCCCUAUUUGGCAGGAAAAAUGGCAUUGAAUUUCUUGGAAAAGAAAAGCAUGAAAAUUUGCUGUUAAGCCAGUGAAUACCAUGACUGACUACUAUCCCCCUCCAUUUUUCUCUGGCAUAACUCAUCAUAUGUUGCAGUGCCUUAUAAUUGAUGAAGCUGAUCGGAUACUUGAGCAAAAUUUCGAGGAGGAUAUGAAACAAAUAUUUAAACGCCUCCCUCGGGUAUGUGACCAUCUGGGAAUUUCGUUUCAUACGCACAUUGUAGCCAUUAAAAUUUCUACUGUCUGAGACUACUAUGUUUUGUCCUGGAAUUAUUAUGAAUCAUAUGCAGGAUAGACAAACUGUUCUUUUUUCUGCUACACAGACUCAAAAGGUUAGUUAUUCAGCCUAUCCAAACUUUUCCUUAAUUUUCCCUGUUGCUGUAAAUGUUUAUGUGUUGUAAAUUGUAAUCCCACAGGUUCAAGAUUUUGCGAAUUUUACAUUUGGGAAAAAUGAAGAAAGACAACGGAAACUUGUUUAUGUUGGAGUUGAUGAUUCUGAAUUAAAGGUAUGGAACUGUUUCACUACGCUGUUCAUAUCGCUUUGAAACAUAGAUAUAACUUGAUGCUCUGGCAGCCUACUGUUGAGGGCUUGCAGCAGGCCUACUGUGUCAUUCCAAGCGAGAAAAGGUUUCUUGUUCUCUACACUUUCCUAAGAUUGAAAGUUCACAAGGAGCAGAUGGUGGAGGUCCUAAGAGGGGAAGUGGGUGAGGAGCAGAAGGUGAAGAUCAUGGUGUUCUUUUCAUCAUGUAGCUCAGUCAAAUUCCAUGCAGAACUUCUAAAUUUCCUCGGGAUAGAGUGUUACGAGAUCCAUGGGCAACUGAAGCAGCAGAAACGAACUAGUACAUUCUUCCGAUUCCUGAAGGAAGAAAAGGGAAUCUUAUUAUGCCCUAAUGUGGCAGCACGUGGGCUUGAUAUUCCUGAUGUGGUUAGUUUAAACCAUUCAUACCACUCCUUUCUACGUAUAUAGUAUAUGUAUAUCCCAGUACUAAUGUAAGGAUCUGGUGCCUUGCUUAGGACUAUUUGUGCAAUAUGAUCCUCCAGAUGACCCAAAGGUCAGUGCUUCUAAACUGUGCAAAAGAAAUUAUGCAUUUCUCAAUUUUGCUAAGUUUGACAUUGGAAUUUAAUUUGUAGGAUUACAUUCACAGAGUUGGUCGUACUGCCCGAGGUGAUAAAGGCAAAGGAAAGGCAUUACUGUUCUUACUACCGGAAGAACUAAAGUUGCUCAUACACCUGCAGGUAAUUAAUGUUACAGUGACAUAAUCUAUGUCUCCACUUAUUAAGAUGAAACUUGAUAUGUGUGUAUAACUGUAUAUAUCAGUAUAUAUGCAGUACUAUUUUGACAUUGUAUAUAGUCUAAAUACAAAGUAAGUGGUGUGAAAGUACUUUGAAAUAUGAAUGUUGUAUAAUCUUAUAUGGUAAGCAUUUUUUACGAUUUGACUAGUCCAGUAACAUGCAAGCUCUACAUAUUUGGUCAGAGGGACUAACACAUUUAGUUUUUGCUUACAGGCAGCCAAUAUUUGCCUUACUGAAUAUGUGUUCAGGGAAAAGCAUGUGCCAAAAUCGCUAUCACAACUUGUGAGUCUCUUUCUCAACUCAAUCCUGUUGUAUCAAUUUGUUGUAUUAUAAUGGAGUUUUGGAGCAGGAGAAUAUUGUUACUGGGAAUUACUUUCUAAACAAGUCUGCAAAGGAAGCCUACAGGUCCUACCUUCUGGCAUACAACUCACACUCUAUGAAAGACAUUUUUGAUAUCCAUCAACUUGAUCUCAAGGUAAAUAUUUAUGUCGUUCUUUCUCAAUGUUCUGUUGUUGGUUUCUGCUCAUUUUUAUUGGCUCAGCAUUUUUGCUUCAAGUUUACAAAGUAGAAGCACAUUUGUUGUCUCCUUAAAUUUAGUGGGAGCCUAGCUUAUCCCUUGAAAGUUUCAAGGUAGCUAAAGACCAAUGAAAAAUACCAAUUGCUGAUAUUUCACUAUGUUUGAUAUGUCUAAUUCAUUGUUGUAUUUCAGAAAGUGGCGGCAUCAUUCUGUUUUAAGGAGCCUCCUAAAGUGAAUUUGAACCUGGAGAGCAGUGCGUCAAAACAUCGAAAGAUGAGGAAAGUGUACGGUGGACAGAGCCAUGGAAUUGGCCCUUCAAACCCCUAUGGAAGGAGAGGCGGAUAUGGUCGCAGCAAAUUUGCAAGAUUCUAAAAGGACAUCAUCUGGGAAAUCAGAUGCUGGAAGCCCCCAUCUUUUAUUUUUUUAUGCUAUAGAUCUCUAAACAUUACUUUUAGGCAGUGUUUGGUUCUCUCUGUAAUGGUAGCAGAAAGUCACGGUAAUGCAAUCCGACAGGGCGAAUACAGGAUUUGUUUCAGAGGACCCGUAUCAGUAUUUUUCUAAGACCAAAGACAGCUCGUCAUAUGUUCUCUGAAUUUUUGUGGCGCCCAAUAAUUCAUCCUGCUGCCUUGUUCACUUGAGCUUAUUAGUGGAAUAACCACGAAUCAACCAGCUAUUCAGCAAUGUUUUUCUCUCAAAAAAAAAUCAGCCAACAGAAAACUUUGAAUAGGACAAUUUUGCCCAUCUCUAUACUUUAUACUCUCUCUUCAUCAAUUCCUAGAGUUAUCUAAGUCAAAUUUUUUAAAUUUUAACCAAAAUUCUAUAAAAAAUACUAAAAAUUAUAGUACCAAAUUAGUACCAUUAGACUUAUUAUAAAAUAUAUUUUCAUAAAAUACUCAUUUUAUGUCAUAGAUAAGUUUGACUUGUAUGGAUUCUAGAAAUUGAAGCUUUAAGAGAUAGAAGUAUUUAAGCUUUUAAUGAAAAUUACCCUUUUUAAAAAAAAAGUACAUGAGAAAAACGUUGUACACAGAAACCGUCAAAAUAAUUCUUGUACCUUUUCUAUAUAAAAAAGACAAGCAAUAUAUCCAGGCAAAAAUAAUAAUAACGACUCUAAAUGCUUAAUACAUAGGAGAUCAAAAUUUAUCUGUUCAAGUUUCCUGAUACACAAUAAUAACGACGGAUCAAAACUUUUCCAAUUCAAGUUUCCUGGUACAUAUUCCUUAAGCUCAUCUUCAGCAUACAUAGGAGAGAUAUCAAAAUACAACCACUCAUAACAGGGACUUGGCACGAAGAUGAUCAUGGCAACAUUCUACUAGAGAUGCCACACCAAUGCUAUGAAGCGAACUCUGAGCAUCAGUGCCGCUUCUUGGAAGAAGCACUAGAAUCCGCAUUCUUUUUCCUCUUCUUAAGUAGCUCAAUUUUCUCUUUUUUCUUUUCUUUGCCCAUCUGUGUUCACAAAGAAACAGGACAGUCAUAACAGGCAUCCAAAACAGAUGUUAAUUAUAAUUUGAGAAAAUAGAGAAAGGCAAUAAGAAGCAAGACAAAUCAAAGACUACGAAACUAUUAUAGAACUGUCAACUAAUUACUGAAAAAAUGCCUGUGAAGGUAGAUACUAUCAAAGAGGGAACUCAGAAGUCAACAAGAAAAGCUGUUACUAAUAUCAAUCUAACACUAGACCCUUUUUAACAGGAACGGAAGUUAUUUCCAUAGAGAGCAUUACCAGGACUUGUAACCAUAUUCACAUUAAAAACCAAUAGUGCAUACAGGUAUACAGCAAGAGAGAGUACACAUACCUUCAUAGCUUUAUAAAGGCCUUGCUGCUUGCGAGACAUGAGAGCAGUACCAAUGUCAUCAUCAUCCUUCUCCUCUUGUUUAAUGGCAUCCGCCUCGUGAUCUGACUGAGUAUCAUCUUUGGCAUCUGGUGAUUUAUUUGCUUCCUUAUUUGACAGACUAGAGAAAGCAACACCGUCAAUUUCCAUCUUCAGUUCAUCAUGGUAUUGCUUCUCUAGCAUCUCCAACUAGGGAAAAAGAAAAGACAUGCCGAGAUCAUUACACAAAAUGCAUUCAAUACAAGGAAAAAAGAAGCAUUGCAUACCAUGAUACCACUUAAACUGAAAAGAAACACUACCCACCUUCCUCUUCUUUUCAGCAGCUUCGUUAGAUUCUGUUCGAUCCAUCAUUGCUGCUACCAAUGAAUUGUCUAGAUCUUCAUCACCAAUACCAGGAAGAGGCAAGACCUCAUUGCGAGCAGCAGCUUGCAGCCUCUUUAUUGUUUCUGCAUACUCAGGAAUGUAGCCCUCUGCAUCAUUGUCCACAAAAGGAGACAAAUGUGGUGGAGGUACUCUGCAACAUGAAAAAUAAAAUGUCAUAUACUAGCCUACAAAUUAUUAGUUUUCUUUAUUAUUAUUGCAGUGUGUCAGUGGUGAAAAUUAACUCAAUAUUGUAGCAGCAACAUGUGGUAUAGUUGUAGCAGAACCAAGAAAUUAGUAGCAGUGCUAGCAAAUAGUAAGUAAUAGGCUAAGAGUGCAGCUAGAAAGUUCUAUCAGUAGCAAAUGGAGAGCAACUGGCAAUCUGGGCAUAUGCACCAAAGGAGUGCAGAACUUAGCAAAUUUGUAAUCAUGCCUCAUGCAUCAUAUUAAAUAUACAUUGUCACCAAACAGAUUAUACAGCAUAAGCAAUUACAAUAGCAUAUCUGACAGAAUCCACAUAUGGUGCAAUGGUGAAGUCGCAGUUAUCACAAUCCCCAUGUGACAUACCUUCCAACAAGAUAACCUUCUGUUGGCAAUAUGAUACGAGCGUUUACACAAUCAAAGACCCACUGCGGUUGAACAUACUCCCUGGAGAGGAAAACAUGGCUUUGUGUCGGCCUAUCAACAAUCUGCAUUAUAACAGAAGUGGUAGGUUAAGUAAACUGAGAUGCAACUCAAAGAAACCUAACAAACAAACAAACAUAAAACAACCUUCUAUCAAUGUGGGAAAAAGAAACUCAAUGUAGACAAACGAAACAGUUGUAACAGACAACAGAUAUUCUACUAGGGCAAACACAUGAUAGUGUAUUGGCUUAGAAGGGGGUAACACCAUCACUGAUGAUCCACGCCCCACGUCAGCAAGUCAGUCUCAGCGCAGGCAACGAGUGUGGUAUUGUCACUGUGAAUCAUGUAUCUGUUCAAAGGCAUAUCAUGGACUCUUCAAAAUAGAAGGAUGUAUAGCGUGAGGAUGUGAUAUCAUACUCCUAUUUUUUAUUACAAUAUGAAUACUAGCAAGCAUAAAGAAACUUACACUGACCAUUUGAUUUUACUUCACUUGUGCACUUUUCAUUGAUCACCUUUUAUGUUUACGAAUUACGAGAUAUGAUGGUUCCAAGUGUAAUCUGAACAGGUAGCACAUACAAAAAUUGUAUUGCAGUAAUUAUUGCUCCUAGUAUGGCAUUGCUGCUGUUGUACUUUAGCAUGGCGUCUUACUUUAGAGAUGGUACAUCAAUCUCUCCGUCUAUAUAGUUAAACUUUGGAGUAAUUAUUGCAAAUGGAAUCAACCUGGUGGGUGAUAUCUUCAUCUACUUCUUUAAAUGGAGCUCCUUCUCCUUCCCAUGAAACAGUCCCUCCAAAUGCUGGGAUAAUAAAUAAUAGAGACUCCCUAGGCACCUGAAAGUGCACAUAAAGGAUUAGAAAAAUUGGAAAGAUAUUCAAAUCAGAAAUCAAUUGAUCUGCAACCCCAAAAUAGGCUUGCAGUAAUGACAAAUUCCAAUAGCCUACCUCCCGACUCAGGUAGAACUUUAAGUUCUUAAAUAAACCUUUACAUUCUUUAGUAUCGUCAUCAUCUGCAUCAUCAGCAGUUGAUUCUUCUACAAGAUUCAUCAGUGCACCAGGUUCAUUAGUUGGGAGCUGAUGUUGAAGCUGUGCUAAUCUGAGCUCAGAUUCAUCUGCUUUUGAGCUUGCUUUAUUCUUCACAUCCUUCUCUUCCUCAGUUAUUCCAUCAGCUUUACUCUUCUCAUCCUUAUCCUCCAUUACUUCGUCAGAUUGUGAAUUCCCAAUCAUUCUUCUGGAACCAGCAGACAUGUAUCGGCACAAUGCAUAGAGCUCUGGCACCACGCAACAUGAUGUCAGAAAAGGAGUCCACAUAAAAUUAGAAAACAGAGAAAAAAUAAUAUGGCAGUGUAUACAUCCAAGAAAAUGGACAGAGGUGAUUAAAUAAUAAAUAAUAAUAAGCACCAGAACAUACCAGCAGCUAAAGCUUCCAGACGUGGAUCCAGAAUAGGAGGAUAAUUUACAUUUAUUGAAUGAUAGAGCUUGAAGUUCACAAAUCCUAAAAGAGUCUGCAGGCACAACAGGCUCAGUCAAAAGGUUGAAACAAACAUCACAAAUCGCACUCUUGAACUUUCUAAGAGAGCAUUCAUGAAAAUGUGAACAUAUACGAUGUCAAUAGCCAACUACUUGAAACGAAACUAUGCUCAUGGAUAGAUAACAAAAACCAUGUAAUACCGGUAUAUAGCUUCUAAAACACCGCAUCAGUUAUUGGCAUAAUAUGAUAUCUUGAUUGAAAAUGAAUUGCUCAGCAUCCCUACAAUGGAAAUGUAAGCACUACAAUAUCAUCGCUGUGUCUUGAUCAAUAACCUACAGGAUUCUCAGCCUUUGCAAUUACGGGUUAAAAGGACUAAAGGAGGCUUAUGCACCAAGGAAAACCACAGCACCCUUUUGUCUAUAAUAACAAGCCCAUCUUUGAUGAAAAACAAGACAAAUAACCAAUAAUCAGAAGUCAGAUAAAAUAUACUACCAUAUCAUUAGUCUUGGCCUCAAAUUUACUGACAGUUGAACAAAACAUGAAACACACAAGAACUAAGGAGCUCUCCAUAUUUGUUUACCUCAUAGAAUUCUAGAAAAGAGAGCAUCACAUUGAAAUCAACAUCAUCGGUUAAUACUUGCUGAAGAGCAUGAGGGGUUAGCCAGGUGAUCUUUUGUCCUUGAACUUCAGCCUGCAUUACGUGGCAUAAUCAUGAAUUUUGACCAUCAUGUAUGCAAUGACAGAUAAAAGAACCAUGGGAUACAUAAUUACCUGGAAAUAUAUGCCCUUGACGGAAAUAAAUGUCUUCCUCAGGGAAUGAGUUCGGGAUAUGUAUGCUUGCCAUUCAUGGCUUAACCUACAAACAAAACAUUUCAAAACACAUAAGAUUUGAAAUGACUUCAUCACAUGAGAAGAAAAUAAUAAAUAUCCUCUAUAAAAAAUAAAUGAUGAAAGCACACGCUUUUACAUUUAUAAAAUUGUGAUUUUACUUUGGAUGUGACUUGGUGAGGACCACAAAGUGCAAUCCACAGAUUACAUGCAAAUUUGAAGGUUACCAUGUAGGAUAUUAGAGAAACCUAUAGAAUUUUUGUGAUAAGCCAAAAUUCCAGGCACAAUAUAGCUGUACACAUAGUGACAGCAAAAAUAGGUAUUCAGAGCACAAUCACCUAGUGCACUUGGAAAGAACAUGAGUCUCAGGUCAAGAAAAAGACAUGGUAAUUUUAAACAAAGCAUACCUGCGGCAGUUAUGAAUUCGUUUGACUUCAACGCGUUCACCAUCAACAGCAGGUAAUGCCGCAAACAGAUGCACCAUUGUAAGGCAGUCAUCCAAGUCACGAAGAGCAUCAACAAAUGUUGGAUACCUGUUCGAUAAAGAAAAGAACAGUUGAUGCUGCAUAGAGAGAGUACUCGAUGAACUCAUGGAUAAUCAUGUUUGGUUCGCUUGAUACCUUUCAAGGACAAGCCUAUCAAGUUUGUAAGUUGGUGGCCGAUUCAACAGCCUGUCUGCGAGAUCCCUGUUUUUCUUAGCAACAGCCUUUUUAACCUUCCUUCGAUGGACCUUAAUCUCCCUGAAAUCAAAUGAAAUACGAAUACCAUCAAGGAAUUAAGCACAUUAAACAUAGAAAGUCAGAAUUCUUAGCAUUGUUUUACUGAGAUAAAAUGCAAUAGGAACUAUUCCUCAGGAAAAAUGUAGCAUUCUUAGGAACUAUUCCUCAGCUUUUAGUUCAUUUCCUCAGAAGCCAGAUUUCCAGCUUUACAAAAGCCAGCUCAAGAUCUAGGCUGUUUGUUUCAGCUUCUGGCGUUUGGCUGGGUGAAGCCAGCAAAAAACUGAAACAAACAGGCCCUUAGCAUGAUCUUGUUCACUUGUUCAUAUACUCUAAUCGCUCCUAGAGAAAACAAAUACAGUAUGGCAGUAGUGAAAUAAUUAAUUUUGCUGAUCACAUAGAGCACCUACACCAAGAUUUGUAUCAUAAACAACCGUCUCAUGAUAAUGCAGUCAGAUAUUCAUCGCCAACAAACAAGGAGCCAAGAGGCUACCACUAUUAGGGCCAGUAAGAAGCAGAAGCUGAAACAAACAGCAUGCUUCUGGAGCUUCUUUUGUGGAUUCUGAUAUGAUGUAAUGGUGAGCGCCAGUGAUAUUUCAUAUGUUAUACACUUCAUCAUACAGAAUUUUAAUCCAAAAUCAGCUUUUCCAAAGUGAACAAAAAAAGAUGCUCUUGAUUCAUGCAACCAAACAAAUUAUGGCUCAGGUUAACUAGCAUGAAUAAGAUGCUGUUCAGAUUGGCUAUUCAGCCAUUUAAUAGAUAAGUUCGUUAAAAAUGUUCUUAACCGUUCUAGAAAAAAAAAUGUCUGUUAAAUCUUGAUCCAUCUUUCUUUAGUUGGAAGUGAAUGUUGUUUAUCCUUUUUCUAGUUUUUUCAGGAAAAAAAACAACAGGUAAUGGUUUAGUUGAAGUUGAUUUAGUUCAGCCUAUAUUGUUAAAAGAAUAAAAAUCCAAACAAACCCUAAUACUGUUCCAUUACUUAACACACAUAAAAACCACUUUUCAAACUGAACAUACAUAUACAGAAGUAUUCAUGGAAUAUUGUAGUAUUCUCCAGGCCCUAAAUUGAGGGCGAAGGAAUUAGAGUGACCCCCU
Molecule: long non-coding RNA, 32181 nt
Filed under: Sorghum bicolor (sorghum)
Lineage: Eukaryota; Viridiplantae; Streptophyta; Magnoliopsida; Poales; Poaceae
Description: long non-coding RNA (SBIC_LNC000157)
Source: RNAcentral